GGAUGAUACGCCACACUGGAACUGGAACACGGACCAGACUCCUACGGGAGGCAGCAGUGAGGAAUUUUGCGCAAUGGGGGUAACCCUGACGCAGCGACGCCGCGUGGGUGAUGAAGGCUUUCGAGUCGUAAAGCCCUGUCAAGUGGGAAGAACCGUCAAUAUGCUAAUACCAUGUUGAUCUGACGGUACCACUAAAGGAAGCACCGGCUAACUCCGUGCCAGCAGCCGCGGUAAUACGGAGGGUGCAAGCGUUGUUCGGAAUUACUGGGCGUAAAGGGCGCGUAGGCGGCGCUGUAAGUCAGAUGUGAAAGUCCACGGCUUAACCGUGGAAGUGCAUCUGAUACUGCAGCGCUUGAGUAUCGGAGGGGAAAGUAGAAUUCCCGGUGUAGAGGUGAAAUUCGUAGAUAUCGGGAGGAAUACCGGUGGCGAAGGCGACUUUCUGGACGAAUACUGACGCUGAUGCGCGAAAGCGUGGGGAGCAAACAGGAUUGGAUACCCUGGUAGUCCACAGCUGUAAACGAUGUACACUAGAUGUAGGGGGUGUUGACCCCUCCUGUGUCACAGCUAACGCAUUAAGUGUACCGCCUGGGGAGUACGGUCGCAAGAUUAAAACUCAAAGGAAUUGACGGGGGCCCGCACAAGCGGUGGAGUAUGUGGUUUAAUUCGACGCAACGCGAAGAACCUUACCUGGUCUUGACAUCCCGAGAAUCUCCUGGAAAUAGGAGAGUGCCUUCAACCGAAGGAGCUUGGAGACAGGUGCUGCAUGGCUGUCGUCAGCUCGUGUCGUGAGAUGUUGGGUUAAGUCCCGCAACGAGCGCAACCCUCGCCUUUAGUUGCCAUCAUUAAGUUGGGCACUCUAGAGGGACUGCCGGUGUCAAACCGGAGGAAGGUGGGGAUGACGUCAAGUCCUCAUGGCCUUUAUGACCAGGGCUACACACGUACUACAAUGGCCGGUACAAAGGGCAGCGAGCUUGCGAGAGUCAGCUAAUCCCAUAAAACCGGUCUCAGUCCGGAUCGGAGUCUGCAACUCGACUCCGUGAAGUUGGAAUCGCUAGUAAUCGUGGAUCAGCAUGCCACGGUGAAUACGUUCCCGUGCCUUGUACACACCGCCCGUCACACCACGAAAGUCGGUUGUACCAGAAGACGUUGAGCUAACCGCAAGGGGGCAGGCGUCCAAGGUAUGGCUGGUAAUUGGGGUGAAGUCGUAACAAGGUA
Molecule: ribosomal RNA, 1215 nt
Filed under: metagenome
Description: bacterial SSU rRNA
Rfam family: Bacterial small subunit ribosomal RNA
Source: RNAcentral